Molecule: ribosomal RNA, 301 nt
Filed under: uncultured bacterium
Lineage: Bacteria
Description: partial 16S ribosomal RNA
Rfam family: Bacterial small subunit ribosomal RNA
Source: RNAcentral
CAGUCGCCGCGGGAAUACGGAGGGUGCAAGCGUUAAUCGGAAUUACUGGGCGUAAAGCGCACGCAGGCGGUUUGUUAAGUCAGAUGUGAAAUCCCCGGGCUCAACCUGGGAACUGCAUCUGAUACUGGCAAGCUUGAGUCUCGUAGAGGGGGGUAGAAUUCCAGGUGUAGCGGUGAAAUGCGUAGAGAUCUGGAGGAAUACCGGUGGCGAAGGCGGCCCCCUGGACGAAGACUGACGCUCAGGUGCGAAAGCGUGGGGAGCAAACAGGAUUAGAUACCCGCGUAGUCCCUGUCUCUUAUAC